RNAcentral lists this ribosomal RNA (446 nucleotides) under uncultured bacterium. RNAcentral's name for it is "partial 16S ribosomal RNA". It matches the Rfam family "Bacterial small subunit ribosomal RNA", at positions 338 to 795 of the family's 1533-position model. The record is from RNAcentral.
CCUACGGGAGGCUGCAGUCGAGAAUCAUUCACAAUGGGGGAAACCCUGAUGGUGCGACGCCGCGUGGGGGAAUGAAGGUCUUCGGAUUGUAAACCCCUGUCAUGUGGGAGCAAAUUAAAAAGAUAGUACCCCAAGAGGAAGAGACGGCUAACUCUGUGCCAGCAGCCGCGGUAAUACAGAGGUCUCAAGCGUUGUUCGGAAUCACUGGGCGUAAAGCGUGCGUAGGCUGUUUCGUAAGUCGUGUGUGAAAGGCGCGGGCUCAACCCGCGGACGGCACAUGAUACUGCGAGACUAGAGUAAUGGAGGGGGAACCGGAAUUCUCGGUGUAGCAGUGAAAUGCGUAGAUAUCGAGAGGAACACUCGUGGCGAAGGCGGGUUCCUGGACAGUAACUGACGCUGAGGCACGAAGGCCAGGGGAGCGAAAGGGAUUAGAUACCCGAGUAGUC